Molecule: non-coding RNA, 996 nt
Organism: Phascolarctos cinereus (koala)
Lineage: Eukaryota; Metazoa; Chordata; Mammalia; Diprotodontia; Phascolarctidae
Source: RefSeq, a predicted model, not a curated record
UCUUGAGAGACAGAAUGCUGCAGUGCGUGGAAAAUUGGCCUUCUAGUCAGGAAAAACUGGGUUCCAGUCCUGCCUUUGACUCAUCUAGCUGUGUGACCCUGGUGAAAAAGCAAACUGAACAAGAGGAGGAACCUGGUAUGAAGUUCACCACAAGCAGCAUUCUGGAUGUGAGAACAUAGCCUCCACUGUGUGAAGGAAGUUGUGUGUCCCACCUGUGUAUUGCUGCUGUAUCAACUUCCUCAGAGUAUGACCAUAGACUAGCCCUGAAAGAUGUGACUUGUGGUGGCUGAAAUUAAAAAAAAUAACCAUGUCCUUGAAAGAGAGCUUGUAAAAUUCUCUGCCGUCUUCUGGCACACAUUUUGCAGUGCAGAAAUGACUGCCAAUGGAGCAUGCAUGGAACAGAUGCCAAAAGACAGCUUGGAAACCUCCAAAAAGCUUAGAAACAAGAGUUGCUAUUCAUCCAUAUGGCAGGCUGAGCCCUGGCAUAUCAAGCUCCUCCUUUAGGUUGCCAAGGAACUGAAAUGGUAUUCAGAAUGGAUCGUUUAUUUUAUAAAACCAUUAAACAUUUUAUGAUACCCUUUACAUUAAAAUGGAAGAGUAGACACCCAUAGCAUUGACUUUAAAUCCUUUUUAAAUGAGUAUUAAAUUGUUUAGAGUGAACUAUUUAAUUUUCUAGGUUCUCUAAACGUUACAUUUAAGAAAUGGGAAUAUCUAAAAUGUGUCUUAGAAGAAAACUGAGUACAUAGAUUAUUAAAUAACAUUUCUCUUAAAAAGAAAUUUCUAAUAUUAAUGGAGUCCCCAAACUUCAGAAGAUGCCUUUUUUAUUAUUAUUUAUCAUACACUUAAUCAUUCCAUUCUUUUCUAAACCUUCUCCAAAAUUAUCCCACAUACAUACAUACCUGGAAAACCCUCUCAUUCCCUUAUGCGCAUUCAAAAUAUAUUGAUUCUUUUAGAACUAAUUCUAGUCCCAUCUCCAAAAAUAAAACCUUCUAUGAU